CCCAGUUAAUGUUCAGUCACCGUCUGUGAUAUGAGAGAAGAGGGUCAGUGUGGUGUGAGAGUGCUGGGAGGCUGGGAGCUGAAGGUGGAGCUCUUGCCAGGUCAGCCCUUGGGCCCUGCCUUCAGCCUCGCUGUGUUCCCUCAACAUGAUCUGCUCUGUCCUCUUCAAUGAGUGCUGUGACUAUAAGGUAAUGUUCACAAGGAAAUUGACAGAUUGAGGCCCAGGACUGAUGCUCCUGCAUGAGCGACAGGACCCAGAUGCCCCACAUAGAUGCUGUGGUGCAUGAGGUCCAGAGAUACAUGGAUACUCUCCCCUCCAGUCUGCCUCACGCUGCGAUCCGCGACACCAAUUCAGACAGUUCUUCACUCCUAAGGUCCUUCCAGUUGUGGCAUGUGGGACGCUGCCUCAGCGUGGUUUGAUUCGAACCAAC
This is a long non-coding RNA of Equus quagga, 430 nucleotides long. RefSeq lists it as uncharacterized. The record is from RefSeq and is a predicted model, not a curated record. The transcript is spliced from 4 exons. NCBI's taxonomy places the organism in Eukaryota, Metazoa, Chordata, Mammalia, Perissodactyla, Equidae.